GAUGAACGCUGGCGGCGUGCAUAACACAUUCAAGUCGAACGGUGAUUUUCCUUCGGGAAAUGAUCAGUGGCGGACGGGUGAGUAACGCGUGAGCAACCUGCCUUUGAGAGGGGAACAACGGUUGGAAACGACCGCUAAUACCGCAUGAUGCAUAGAGACCACAUGGUUUUUAUGCCAAAGAUUUAUCGCUCAAAGAUGGGCUCGCGUCUAAUUAGAUAGUUGGUGAGGUAACGGCUCACCAAGUCGACGAUUAGUAGCCGGACUGAGAGGUUGAACGGCCACAUUGGAACUGAGAUACGGUCCAG
This 305-nucleotide ribosomal RNA is filed under the name uncultured bacterium. RNAcentral describes it as "bacterial SSU rRNA". It matches the Rfam family "Bacterial small subunit ribosomal RNA", at positions 28 to 334 of the family's 1533-position model. The record is from RNAcentral.